GAAUGCUGACAUAAGUAACGAUAAAGCGGGUGAAAAGCCCGCUCGCCGGAAGACCAAGGGUUCCUGUCCAACGUUAAUCGGGGCAGGGUGAGUCGACCCCUAAGGCGAGGCCGAAAGGCGUAGUCGAUGGGAAACAGGUUAAUAUUCCUGUACUUGGUGUUACUGCGAAGGGGGGACGGAGAAGGCUAUGUUGGCCGGGCGACGGUUGUCCCGGUUUAAGCGUGUAGGCUGGUUUUCCAGGCAAAUCCGGAAAAUCAAGGCUGAGGCGUGAUGACGAGGCACUACGGUGCUGAAGCAACAAAUGCCCUGCUUCCAGGAAAAGCCUCUAAGCAUCAGGUAACAUCAAAUCGUACCCCAAACCGACACAGGUGGUCAGGUAGAGAAUACCAAGGCGCUUGAGAGAACUCGG
This 409-nucleotide ribosomal RNA is filed under the name Escherichia coli. RNAcentral describes it as "partial 23S ribosomal RNA". It matches the Rfam family "Bacterial large subunit ribosomal RNA", at positions 1292 to 1703 of the family's 2925-position model. Lineage: Bacteria; Pseudomonadati; Pseudomonadota; Gammaproteobacteria; Enterobacterales; Enterobacteriaceae. The record is from RNAcentral.